Molecule: unclassified non-coding RNA, 236 nt
Filed under: rhizosphere metagenome
Description: partial ribosomal RNA internal transcribed spacer region
Source: RNAcentral
GUAGGUGAACCUGCGGAAGGAUCAUUAAAGAGUAAGGGUGCUCAGCGCCCGACCUCCAACCCUUUGUUGUUAAAACUACCUUGUUGCUUUGGCGGGACCGCUCGGUCUCGAGCCGCUGGGGAUUCGUCCCAGGCGAGCGCCCGCCAGAGUUAAACCAAACUCUUGUUAUUUAACCGGUCGUCUGAGUUAAAAUUUUGAAUAAAUCAAAACUUUCAACAACGGAUCUCUUGGUUCUC